Molecule: ribosomal RNA, 610 nt
Filed under: uncultured bacterium
Lineage: Bacteria
Description: bacterial SSU rRNA
Rfam family: Bacterial small subunit ribosomal RNA (bases 1-518)
Source: RNAcentral
CCUACGGGAGGCAGCAGUGGGGAAUAUUGGACAAUGGGCGAAAGCCUGAUCCAGCAAUGCCGCGUGAGUGAUGAAGGCCUUAGGGUUGUAAAGCUCUUUUACCAGGGAUGAUAAUGACAGUACCUGGAGAAUAAGCUCCGGCUAACUCCGUGCCAGCAGCCGCGGUAAUACGGAGGGAGCUAGCGUUGUUCGGAAUUACUGGGCGUAAAGCGUGCGUAGGCGGUGAUUCAAGUCAGAGGUGAAAGCCUGGAGCUCAACUCCAGAACGGCCUUUGAAACUAGAUCGCUAGAAUUAUGGAGAGGUAAGUGGAAUUCCGAGUGUAGAGGUGAAAUUCGUAGAUAUUCGGAAGAACACCAGUGGCGAAGGCGACUUACUGGACAUAUAUUGACGCUGAGGUACGAAAGCGUGGGGAGCAAACAGGAUUAGAUACCCUGGUAGUCCGCGCCGUAAACGAUGAUAACUAGCUGUUCGGGCUCUCAGAGCUUGAGUGGCGCAGCUACGCAUUAAGUUAGUCCGCCGUGGGUAGGUACGGUCGGCGAGUAAGUUAAACUACGUUAAAGAAGUUAGUUACGGCGUGAGACGNGCCGACGGACGACGACGAGGGAGGAGG